AGGACGAACGCUGGCGGCGUGCUUAACACAUGCAAGUCGAGCGGAAAGGCCCUUCGGGGUACUCGAGCGGCGAACGGGUGAGUAACACGUGAGUAAUCUGCCCCUAGCUCUGGGAUAGCUCCGGGAAACCGGGAUUAAUACCAGAUACGACCACUUUAGACAUCUGCUGUGGUGGAAAGAAUUUCGGCUAGGGAUGAGCUCGCGGCCUAUCAGCUUGUUGGUGAGGUAACGGCUCACCAAGGCGACGACGGGUAGCCGGCCUGAGAGGGCGACCGGCCACACUGGGACUGAGACACGGCCCAGACUCCUACGGGAGGCAGCAGUGGGGAAUAUUGCGCAAUGGGCGAAAGCCUGACGCAGCGACGCCGCGUGGGGGAUGAAGGCCUUCGGGUUGUAAACCCCUUUCAGCAGGGACGAAGCGAAAGUGACGGUACCUGCAGAAGAAGCGCCGGCUAACUACGUGCCAGCAGUCGC
RNAcentral lists this ribosomal RNA (474 nucleotides) under uncultured bacterium. RNAcentral's name for it is "SSU rRNA". It matches the Rfam family "Bacterial small subunit ribosomal RNA", at positions 26 to 518 of the family's 1533-position model. The record is from RNAcentral.